This is a non-coding RNA of Podarcis lilfordi (Lilford's wall lizard), 84 nucleotides long. The record is from the annotation of a GenBank genome assembly. Lineage: Eukaryota; Metazoa; Chordata; Lepidosauria; Squamata; Lacertidae.
GCCUGGAUAGCUCAGUUGGUUAGAGUGUGGUGCUGCUAACGCCAAGGUUGCAGGUUCAAUCCUGUAAGGGAUAUGUCAUAGGCC